CUCUUUCACCAAAAGUUUCAUUUCUGCCAAUUUGUUGGUUAGUUUAAGUAAACAAUGACACCAAAUGCACUAUUUUUUGUCCGAGUAGGCCUACUUUCACAUACGUUUUAAAUUUGAGGGAGUAAUUGGUGGUAUGACACCUAAAGAGACAAAAAAGUUGAUUAGAAAUCUUUUAUUUUGUUUUAUUCUUAAUCCUUAGUCAAUUUGUAGUUAAAAACAGCCUAUCUGAGCAUUAUGCGACUUAUAUUAAAAUU
RNAcentral lists this long non-coding RNA (254 nucleotides) under Mytilus galloprovincialis (Mediterranean mussel). The record is from RNAcentral. Lineage: Eukaryota; Metazoa; Mollusca; Bivalvia; Mytilida; Mytilidae.